Long non-coding RNA from Nycticebus coucang (slow loris), 551 nucleotides. RefSeq lists it as uncharacterized. Lineage: Eukaryota; Metazoa; Chordata; Mammalia; Primates; Lorisidae. The record is from RefSeq and is a predicted model, not a curated record. The transcript has 4 exons.
CAAUGGACCUCCAGUCUUACUCAAUAAUAUUGCUCUCAGUUGACACCAGUUUUCACUUCAAAAUUUAAACUAAUCUGUGUGAUUUAUUUGUUUUUAAGGGCAAAGUAUAUGAAGGGCUGGUUUCCAAGAUAUUGGAUUUCAGGACAUGAAGAACAGCAUUUCUUGAGCCUCAAGACUGCCUCCCUUAUUUCUGUCAACGUAAAAAUCACACCGAAGUUAAACAGAAGCCGCAGAUAUGAUGGAACGGAAAGUACAAUACCCACAAGAUGCCGGCAGCACUGAACGCUGCAGACAAAAUUUUUUGGCCGGGUCCGGGUUUGAACCCACCACCUCCGGUAUAUGGGGCCGGAGCUCUACUCCUUUAGGCCACAGGUUAUGCUGCAGUAAAAACAUGAUAUUCAAACCUGAGUGAUUUCUAACAGCAAAGAGAUAUUUCUAGUUCAUGCUGAAGGCCCAUCUCAAAUAACUGCACCUCUCUUCCUCAACUUCCCUCUUCCCCGACCCAACCUGACAGAUGGCUCCUAUUUAGUAUAAUUCAUUAUGGAAGAAGG